This 1146-nucleotide ribosomal RNA is filed under the name Triticum aestivum (bread wheat). RNAcentral's name for it is "partial small subunit ribosomal RNA". The record is from RNAcentral. Lineage: Eukaryota; Viridiplantae; Streptophyta; Magnoliopsida; Poales; Poaceae.
UUCCAAGGGAUACACACAUCUUCUGUUUCAGAGGCUAACAGAAAGCGAAACAAAACAUCACAGAGGACGGGCCGCAAUGCAAGAAUGAGGGUGAAGGUGCAGGAGGAUGACACAUGCGUGGUAGUGGACAUUGAGUACAAUCAUAAUCACCAGCUCAUGCAAACUGAUGACAUGCUGGUAUUCUUGCACUCACACAAGAAUUAUGACCCCACUAUUCUGGAGUAUGUAAAGCUCCUGCAGUACCAUGAUGUCAAGCACACAACAAUCAUGUCCAUGCUAUCUGAAAAUGAAGAUGGAAGCUACUUCCUAAGCAUGACCGGACGAGACCUACUAAACCAGAAAGCCAUGAAUGCAAGGAAAGAUGAUUUGGAUGAUGUAUUAAAACUUGUUUCAUUCUUCAAAGACAUGAUGGCAAUAAAUGAUGAGUUUUUCUAUGACAUCCAAUCCAAUGCAAGCUGCCGAGGAGCCUAUCAAGACUUCGGCGAUUGCGUAACAUUUGACACGACUUACAAGACCAACAGAUUUCAUAUGCCCCUGAGAGUGUUUGUUGGAACAAACCAUCACUUGCAGUCAACGAUAUUUGCUGUUGCCCUGGUAAGAGACGAAGAUGCAAAGUCAUUCAAGUGGCUGUUCGAUACAUUUCUAUGGUGCAUGAACAACAAGCACCCAACUUGCAUUCUAACAGACCAGUGCCCAUCGACGGCGAAAGCUAUACCACAAUCAUUUCCAAACACCGUCCACAAGCUAUGCUGUCGGCACAUAUUGAAGAAGUACAGGGAAUACCUCGCGCUGCUGUACAAAAAGUAUAAAACAUUCAAAGAGGAGUUCACAGCUAUAUUGAACUGGCCACUGAUGCCAACGGAGUUUGAAGAUGUCUGGGCUGAACUCGUGCACAAGUACCACCUGGAGAACGACCAGAUGAUGAUGCAGCUCUGGAGUGAUAGGAAGAUGUGGAUUUCAGCAUAUUACAAGAACAUUUUCUGUGCUAGAAUGACUUCCACACAACGAAGCGAGAGCAUGAACCACGUGCUAAAGAAAGGAUUUGUCAAGGGGACCCAGAACCUACACAAGUUUGCUAGGCAGGUCAAUGCUUGCAUACAAACUCGGAUGCAGAAGGAGAACGAGCAAACAACCAGCAUGGUAUGA